GCCGGGGUAGCAUAGCCAGGACUAAUGCGGCGGGUUCGAGACCCGUUGACGCCGCCGCGUCACCUGGGUUCAAAUCCCAGCCCCGGCG
Molecule: transfer RNA, 88 nt
Filed under: Candidatus Methanohalarchaeum thermophilum
Lineage: Archaea; Methanobacteriati; Methanobacteriota; Methanonatronarchaeia; Methanonatronarchaeales; Methanonatronarchaeaceae
Rfam family: tRNA
About the family: Transfer RNA (tRNA) molecules are approximately 80 nucleotides in length.
Source: Rfam by way of RNAcentral